GCCCGCGUGGCUCAAUCGGUAGAGCGUGAGACUCUUAAUCUCAAGGUUGCGGGUUCGACCCCCGCCGUGGGCU
Non-coding RNA from Annulohypoxylon nitens, 73 nucleotides. Lineage: Eukaryota; Fungi; Ascomycota; Sordariomycetes; Xylariales; Hypoxylaceae. The record is from the annotation of a GenBank genome assembly.